Molecule: long non-coding RNA, 2801 nt
Organism: Epinephelus fuscoguttatus (brown-marbled grouper)
Lineage: Eukaryota; Metazoa; Chordata; Actinopteri; Perciformes; Serranidae
Exons: 4
Source: RefSeq, a predicted model, not a curated record
GUAUUAUUUGCAGCAUAUUUUCGACGGAUUUCUUCCUCAGACGUUUUUUGCGCACUUGGCGCAAAUGUCUCCUCAUCACCAUUUUGCGCUUCAGCUGCUGCUGAAUGUUACAGGAUCCAGACCCGAGGUGGAAAUGGAUUCUCCGAAACGAGCUCAUCAUGUCACGGAGAGAAAAACGAGCUCCAUCACAUGAUAGACGACGUGCGUCGGCGGCUCAAAGACAUUCAUCGCUCAGUGUUCAGAGCAGAUGACGUUCUACAACAGGAAACCCUUCACGUCUCAGCGUGAAACAGCAAACUGCCAGAGGAGAUGCAGCUCACAGCCUGUGUGGCAGAUGGGACACUCUUCUAAGGAAGUCAACACCCCUGAAGCUGCUUGAGCUCAAACAAUAACUACACUAAUGAAGAAUAACAUACAACAAUCAAGUAUCUUCCGGCGUUUUUGUGUCUUGUGAGUAUUAAAACAAGCUUAACAUCCCCUCUCCCAACAGCUCAGGGCCAGUCAGCUGCCUCCCAGCCCAGCUAUGGCUCCCCCUAGCCGUGCCUCCAUAUUUCCUUGUUAAUGCACACCAUAGUGCCCUGACCCUCCCUGUUCUAAUACACAGCAAAGACACCAAAAUACACCUGAAAACCUGACUUUCUCUCUCUAAAUGUGGAGUUUAUAGUCUCCAACCACCUUCCAGCCAACAUUGGGCACCACUGGCCAAAGCAGAAGAGAGGAUUUCUUACCUUUUGAGAGUGGCUGUGACUAAACCUCCCUCUCCAAAGUCCCAACCUCGACAGCCUCCUUCUUCUUCCCAGCAAUCCCUGCAAAAAAGGACACUUCCAUGUAUGUUGACUAUGUAGGGGUGAUCAAAUUGGUCUAAAGUAAUUUUAAAGAGCCCAGAAGGCCCCCAAAACACUAAAAUGGCCCUUUUGGCCCCAAAUACAUUAAAGCUCCAAAUUACCAUUUUAAAAUGGCAUGUGAAUGGCAUUAAACAGUAAAGCCCACUCCUCACAUACACCAUGUCCCACCCCUAUGGUUUGAACUUAUUCUGGUCCAUUCAGCAGUCAUACAGUUGAUACUGAAGAACAAUUGUCAGUCAGUGCGCAGCUGAACUCUGAGGCGCUUUUUGCUGCCUUUUGUGCGUUUGCCAAGCCCUGGAGCAUCUCUGGGAGGCUACAAAUAGCCCAUUGGUGGUAUUUAUGAGUCAAAGAGACCCUUUUCUUGUGGACUGGACCAAAAAAACUGGAAGGGAAAUAUUUACAUGUGCGUAGAAUCCAGCCAGGCAAAGAGAGCGCUAUGGAUCCAAAUGGACCUCUCCAAAAGUGCGCAGGUGUUUCCAAAGGCAAACGAGCUCUUUAAAGGCUCCAGGAGAAAAAAGGAGAAGUUUAUCCUGCUUAAAAGGUAAUUAUAAUAAUAAUUCUGCUCACAUUUGACCAAUUUUACCCAAAAAUUAAAAGCUGGAGUCAAAUAUUGUCGAAUUUAAAGACCAUUUAACUGUAAAGUGCAUCGAGAAAAAUGUACCAAAUGGCGCAGGUGGCACUUUAGACCGUAAAGUAAAUAAUAUCACGUGUUUAAAGAUAUUAUUUGCUUAAUUAUAUUUGUGUGAAUAUUGACAGCACUAUGGCACAGCUCACAAAUUGAAAUUACUGUCUGUCUGCCCAACAGCAGGCGAAAACCUGAGCUUAAACGCACCUAAUCUGUGCGCCAAGUAGCCACGGUCUGGUCCUUUAUCCAGGGCUGAAUAAGCAACAAUUUAAUCCUGUAGCAAAAAAUAAAUAAAUAAAUAAAUAUAUAGGCUGUACAUACGAACAUCCAUGCAGACAAAUCCAAUGGAUUCUUAGGUGGAGGAGUGACUGCGCCGGCGGUUGAAGCUGUUUUCCCCCAAACAAACCCCUAUGCAAAUUAUACUGGCAGCUGCCUGCAAAGCGUUAAAGACCAGUCCUGUUCCCCUUAAAGCCUGGCUGGUGCCUGUGAUGUUUACGUCGUACAUUACAACAGCACAUAGACACAAAUAUGAUGGGCGUUUGCCUCCGUGCGUGUCCAGACCUGAUCCUACAGCAGGUUAAAGACCCCGCAUCCCCUCACUGAGACACCAAGCCUCAGGCAGCAGCAGCAGCAGCAGCAGCACAAGAGAAGCCCUGUCCUCUCUGCGGUUUGUAGUGGAAGAAAAAACAGCAACAAAAAGGCGAGUGUUCGUCAGAAAUAAUCAAGCCUCCGUUAUCUGCUCAGAAACAACCGUCCCCAUCAGCGCUCAGACUGUACUGUUGGUAAAAGCAAGCGCAUGUAGCCCGUCAGCACCAAAGCACAGCCGGAGCUGCAGCCGGACGCACGCCUGUCCUCAUUGUGCAUUUGUCGCAGCAGCUGUCAAACAGAUCCUGUUUCAGACUGAUGCCACAGUGUGAUGAAUACUCACAGGCUCUAUAUGAUGCCCUGCUGGAAUAACCACACUUUUGCAACAUCAGCUGUGCGUCGGUCGGCGGUCAAAAUGCGUAAUAUUUAGGCUGCAGGGUGACAAACAGCUUCUGUUGCAAGACGGUCUUGUGUUUUUUUAGCUGGGGGGCAGGAGGAGCGAGCUGGUGACGGUUUGAAAGCCGCAUUAAUGAUGCCUGGAGGCAGUGAGUAUAAACACAACUGUGAGUACAAAUCAACCGAAGUGUAUCCACCGCUCCCUGUUUUUAUCCUCAAUGUGUUGUAUUCAUCAUUUUCUAUGCUCUGGAGGACACAGCUCUUUUAUUGUAAGCCUAUUUAUUUGGAUAUAAGACUGUAUUUCAGCAUACAGGCUCACUGUAUUGUCUAAUGUGACACUAAACAAGCCC